This is a non-coding RNA of Hydra vulgaris (swiftwater hydra), 526 nucleotides long. NCBI's taxonomy places the organism in Eukaryota, Metazoa, Cnidaria, Hydrozoa, Anthoathecata, Hydridae. The record is from RefSeq and is a predicted model, not a curated record.
UAGAUUUAAAAGAGUACUGUGGGCAAAGCCCCAUCAACCAGUCGGACGCUGGACUAAUCCACUAGUUUACCUCAUAUCUAAGAUAAGACAAAAUGAAGAUAUGAACUUAUUAAAAUCACUAAAACAAAAUGUUUCACCCAGCCGAAACAACAUCUGGAAUUAUACUCCUAAAGAUGAUUUAUUCACAUUGGGGAACAAACACCCUUCUCAACUUUCUGCUGAGCAAUAUUUGGUAUAUAUAAAUUACAAAGAAUAUGAUAGACUACACAAUACUGCACCAUCAUCGUCAAAACAAGAUUCCAAACAAACAAAAUGCUGUUAUUGUUCCUGGCAAGAACCGUUUUUUUUUUAAGGAAGUUUUGUUUUGAAAAUAUUGAAAGGUAUUAAGAAAAUUUGUUAAACACUGGAAAAACACAAACUUAAAGAUAGCCACGAAUAUAUUCGAAAUGAUGUAUCAUGAGAACAUUCUUUAUAUAUCUUUGUUUUAUUAUUGUCAUAUUAUGUUGAAUAGUAUAAUAAAAAACUU